AUGGCUAUUACACGGUCGAUACUGCACUGCAGGGUGCACGUGCCAGGUGCCACAGUAACCCAUGUGCGCUCUCACGUUUGCCUAGCUUUGUGCUCUACUACCAUGGUAACUGCUACUGCAAAUCGUAUCAACUGCAGCAAGCCUCCAAUGCGGUCAUAUAAUCUCUGCACCUAUCAUAUAUUGAUCCAUAAUGUCUCAUCAAGAAAAACUUACUUUUUCCAUGUCUAUCUUUCAACACUUCUGUUUAUCAGAUUAUAUGGGGGAGAAGAUGAGAGCCAACUAGGUGGUCUGCAUCGCAUGAAGUUUCACCCGACAGUAAGAGUGUGUUAA
This 330-nucleotide ribosomal RNA is filed under the name Triticum aestivum (bread wheat). RNAcentral's name for it is "partial small subunit ribosomal RNA". Lineage: Eukaryota; Viridiplantae; Streptophyta; Magnoliopsida; Poales; Poaceae. The record is from RNAcentral.